UUAUUGAAUAAACUUGAACAGGUUGUUGCUGGCCCUCUCCAUGGGCAUGUGCACACUUGUCAUCUUUAUUUCUCCAACUGUGCACAUCUUGUAGACCUAGAAUGUGUUUGGAAUUUAUUUUUCGAGUUGGGACUGCUGUGCUUUUUCUACAAAGUCAGCUUUGCCUUGCAUUUUCUGGGUCUAUGUCUUUUUCACAAACCUCAGAGUCUGUUUAGAAUGUUGAAUCAGGUCCUUUUGUACCUAUAAAGUUAAUUAUACAACUUUCAGCAACGGAUCUCUUGGCUCUCGCAUCGAUGAAGAACGCAGCGAAAUGCGAUAAGUAAUGUGAAUUGCAGAAUUCAGUGAAUCAUCGAAUCUUUGAACGCAUCUUGCGCUCCCUGGUAUUCCUAGGAGCAUGCCUGUUUGAGUGUCAUUUAAGUUCUCAACCACAUCGGAUUUGUUUUCGGUGUGGCUUGGAUAUGGGGGUAUUUGUUGCAGGCUUUUGAAAAAUGAAGUCAGCUCCCCUGAAAUGCAUUAGUAGUAUCUGAGCAGAAAAACUACUAUGGGUGUGAUAAUUUAUCUAUGCCCUUAGUAUUGCUGCAUGAACAGAUUGCGCUGCUUCUAAUGAGUGUGUAUAAUAA
RNAcentral lists this ribosomal RNA (620 nucleotides) under Inocybe sp. TO-2011. Its description in RNAcentral is "eukaryotic LSU rRNA". The stretch from base 259 to 412 matches the Rfam family "5.8S ribosomal RNA". The record is from RNAcentral. Lineage: Eukaryota; Fungi; Basidiomycota; Agaricomycetes; Agaricales; Inocybaceae.